AUACGUAGGGGGCGAGCGUUGUCCGGAAUGACUGGGCGUAAAGGGCGUGUAGGCGGUUGAAUAAGUCUGGAGUGAAAGUCCCGGUUUCAAGUUGGGAACUGCUUUGGAUACUGUUCAACUUGAGUGCGGAAGAGGUAAGUGGAAUUCCCAGUGUAGCGGUGAAAUGCGUAGAGAUCGGGAGGAACACCGGUGGCGAAGGCGGGUAACUGGACUGCAACUGACGCUGAGGCGCGAAAGUGUGGGGAGCAAACAGGAUUAGAUACCCUGGUAGUCCACACUGUAAACGAUGAAUGCUAGGUGUAGGGGGUAUCGACCCCUUCUGUGCCGCAGUCAACACAAUAAGCAUUCCGCCUGGGGAGUACGGCCGCAAGGUUGAAACUUAAAGGAAUUGGCGGGG
RNAcentral lists this ribosomal RNA (397 nucleotides) under uncultured bacterium. RNAcentral describes it as "partial 16S ribosomal RNA". It matches the Rfam family "Bacterial small subunit ribosomal RNA", at positions 523 to 918 of the family's 1533-position model. The record is from RNAcentral.